AUUGAACGCUGGCGGCAGGCUUAACACAUGCAAGUCGAGCGGGGUGAUGGUGCUUGCACUAUCACUUAGCGGCGGACGGGUGAGUAAUGCUUAGGAAUCUGCCUAUUAGUGGGGGACAACAUCUCGAAAGGGAUGCUAAUACCGCACACGUCCUACGGGAGAAAGCAGGGGAUCACUUGUGACCUUGCGCUAAUAGAUGAGCCUAAGUCGGAUUAGCUAGUUGGUGGGGGAAAGGCCUACCAAGGCGACGAUCUGUAGCGGGUCUGAGAGGAUGAUCCGCCACCCUGGGACUGAGACACGGCCCAGAGUCCUACGGGAGGCAGCAGUGGGGAAUAUUGGACAAUGGGGGGAACCCUGAUCCAGCCAUGCCGCGUGUGUGAAGAAGGCCUUAUGGUUGUAAAGCACUUUAAGCGAGGAGGAGGCUCUUUUGGUUAAUACCCAAGAUGAGUGGACGUUACUCGCAGAAUAAGCACCGGCUAACUCUGUGCCAGCCGCCGCCGUAA
Molecule: ribosomal RNA, 503 nt
Filed under: uncultured bacterium
Lineage: Bacteria
Description: partial 16S ribosomal RNA
Rfam family: Bacterial small subunit ribosomal RNA
Source: RNAcentral